GGCAGAAAUUUGAAGAAAAUUGAACAUGAAACAGGGACCAAGAUAACAAUCUCAUCUUUGCAGGAUUUGAGCAUAUACAACCCGGAAAGAACCAUCACUGUGAAGGGCACAGUUGAGGCCUGUGCCAGUGCUGAGAUAGAGAUUAUGAAGAAGCUGCGUGAGGCCUUUGAAAAUGAUAUGCUGGCUGUUAACGUAAGUCCCUAAUGCUUUCUUCUCCGCUGGUUUUCACAAGGCUAAAAAUACUUGCCAUUCAGCUAAUGAGGAAGUGCCUUAGGAUAGGUAUGCAGAGUUUUUCCUGACUUCCUAGGAUAAAGGCAUUAAAAUAAUCAGGAAACCAACUAGUAAAUUAUGAUAAGUGCGCUGGACAACAUCACGUGAAGACAUUAAAAUUAUAACUUUGAAGACUGAAAUAAGGAAAAGCUUAUGAUAUAAUGUUUAUUAAGAAAAGCAAGA
Molecule: small RNA, 453 nt
Filed under: Pan troglodytes (chimpanzee)
Lineage: Eukaryota; Metazoa; Chordata; Mammalia; Primates; Hominidae
Description: processed transcript
Source: RNAcentral